This 908-nucleotide long non-coding RNA is filed under the name Anas platyrhynchos platyrhynchos (common mallard). RNAcentral describes it as "lncRNA (ENSAPLG00000023435.1)". The record is from RNAcentral. Lineage: Eukaryota; Metazoa; Chordata; Aves; Anseriformes; Anatidae.
UUUAAAUCUCACUUGACUGGAUAACUAUUCUGCACUGAUAUCAUCACAGCAACUGAAGAGAACUCAGUACAUUUGUCCUAGAAGUUCCAGUGUUUUGAGGUCAAGCCUGUGGAGCCAUGCUGCAAUGGAAAGGAACAUGGACACCCUCGACUGCCCUGACCAACUCAAGCUUAGAACUGAAGGAAAAUAGCAGACCAGAUUGCUCAUCACCCACUGUGUACAGAAAGCUCUAUCUGAUGAGAAUCAGCUGCAUGAAGCCCAGUGCCUCUCAAAGGGCAACGUUUUUCCUCAACUCCUCUCCUCCUUCUCAUCAGAGAAAGCAUGAAAGGAAGAGAAUAAUACUUAAGAUGAAACACUGGAAAAGUUCGGUCUGCUCAUGGGCCACUGCUGAGCAAAAAGGCAGUUAAACAAAGGCCUAAUCCCACCCACGGAGAAGGACGCAUAGCAAAUCUCACUGCCCAGAGUAGCACUAAAAGAUCAUUUCCUUCUCAUCUUCCCCACCAGAUAUUUGAAAAAGCAGAACUUUCAUUUCUCAAAACACUGUGGCCACAUUGUAAGUUGGUGGUGUGCUAUUCCUCUAUACCAAACUACAGAAACUUUCUUGAUCUCAUAUCCUACCCCACCCCUCCUAAGUCUGUGGAGUUACUGAAUACAGUGUUUUGCAGCAGGAGCUUGGUGGAAGUAUGUAAUACUGUGUUCAGAAUGUAUGGCUUUUUUUUUUUUUGCUUUUUUUUUUUUUUUUGUGCCUGUAAGAUGUCAGGUUCAUUUAUUUCAAUAAUUAAUGUGUCUUGCAGCUCUCCUAGUGCCCAUAUGCCUGAGUUCUUUCCCAUCACCUGAAGGGUUUGUUUUUGACUGGGUAUAUAUGCAUGUCUUGAUUAAACUGAAUUUUCUUAUUUGAUUUGAUUGCC